RNAcentral lists this ribosomal RNA (446 nucleotides) under uncultured bacterium. RNAcentral's name for it is "partial 16S ribosomal RNA". It matches the Rfam family "Bacterial small subunit ribosomal RNA", at positions 331 to 794 of the family's 1533-position model. The record is from RNAcentral.
CCAGACUCCUACGGGAGGCAGCAGUGGGGAAUAUUGCACAAUGGGGGGAACCCUGAUGCAGCGACGCCGCGUGGGUGAAGGAGUACUUCGGUACGUAAAGCCCUAUCAGCAGGAAAGAAAAUGACGGUACCUGACUAAGAAGCCCCGGCUAACUACGUGCCAGCAGCCGCGGUAAUACGUAGGGGGCAAGCGUUAUCCGGAUUUACUGGGUGUAAAGGGAGCGUAGACGGCAGUGCAAGUCCGGAGUGAAAGCCCGGGGCUCAACGUGGGAACUGCCUUUGAAACUGGCAAACUGGAGUGUGUGAGAGGAUAGUGGAAUUCCAGGUGUAGGAGUGAAAUCCGUAGAUAUCUGGAGGAACAUCAGUGGCGAAGGCGACUAUCUGGCACAUAACUGACGCUGAGGAGCGAAAGCGUGGGUAGCAAACAGGAUUAGAUACCCGAGUAUA